ACUCGAGUGGCGAACGGGUGAGUAACACGUGGGUGAUCUGCCCUGCACUUCGGGAUAAGCUUGGGAAACUGGGUCUAAUACCGGAUAGGAGCCAUCUUUAGUGUGGUGGUUGGAAAGUUUUUUCGGUGUAGGAUGAGCUCGCGGCCUAUCAACUUGUUGGUGGGGUAAUGGCCUACCAAGGCGGCGACGGGUAGCCGGCCUGAGAGGGUGACCGGCCACAUUGGGACUGAGAUACGGCCCAG
RNAcentral lists this ribosomal RNA (242 nucleotides) under uncultured Actinomycetales bacterium. Its description in RNAcentral is "partial 16S ribosomal RNA". It matches the Rfam family "Bacterial small subunit ribosomal RNA", at positions 89 to 334 of the family's 1533-position model. Lineage: Bacteria; Bacillati; Actinomycetota; Actinomycetes; Actinomycetales. The record is from RNAcentral.